UAGCAUAUCAAUAAGCGGAGGAAAAGAAACCAACAGGGAUUGCCCUAGUAACGGCGAGUGAAGCGGCAACAGCUCAAAUUUGAAAUCUGGCUUCGGCCCGAGUUGUAAUUUGCAGAGGAUGCUUCUGGCGCGGUGCCUUCCGAGUUCCCUGGAACGGGACGCCAAAGAGGGUGAGAGCCCCGUAUGGUUGGACACCAAGCCUGUGUGAAGCUCCUUCGACGAGUCGAGUAGUUUGGGAAUGCUGCUCUAAAUGGGAGGUAAAUCUCUUCUAAAGCUAAAUACCGGCCAGAGACCGAUAGCGCACAAGUAGAGUGAUCGAAAGAUGAAAAGCACCUUGAAAAGGGGGUUAAAUAGUACGUGAAAUUGUUGAAAGGGAAGCACUUAUGACCAGACUUGGGCCGGGCGGCUCAUCAGGGGUUCUCCCCUGUGCACUCCGCCCGGCACAGGCCAGCAUCGGUUCUCGUGGGGGGAUAAGACCGUCGGGAACGUAGCACCCUCCGGGGUGUGUUAUAGCCCGGCGGACGAUACCCCCGUGGGGACCGAGGUCCGCGCUCCGCAAGGAUGCUGGCGUAAUGGUCAUCAGUGACCCGUCUUGAAACACGGACCAAGGAGUCGUCCAUUAGAGCGAGCGUUUGGGUGUAAAACCCGCACGCGUAAUGAAAGUGAACGCAGGUGAGAGCUUCGGCGCAUCAUCGACCGAUCCUGAUGUUCUCGGAAGGAUUUGAGUAAGAGUUUUAACGGACGGACCCGAAAGACAGUGAACUAUGCUUGUAUAGGGUGAAGCCAGAGGAAACUCUGGUGGAGGCUCGCAGCGGUUCUGACGUGCAAAUCGAUCGUCAAAUAUGAGCAUGGGGGCGAAAGACUAAUCGAACUGUCUAGUAGCUGGUUACCGCCG
Molecule: ribosomal RNA, 895 nt
Filed under: Diaporthe caulivora
Lineage: Eukaryota; Fungi; Ascomycota; Sordariomycetes; Diaporthales; Diaporthaceae
Description: LSU rRNA
Rfam family: Eukaryotic large subunit ribosomal RNA
Source: RNAcentral